This 301-nucleotide ribosomal RNA is filed under the name uncultured bacterium. RNAcentral's name for it is "partial 16S ribosomal RNA". It matches the Rfam family "Bacterial small subunit ribosomal RNA", at positions 509 to 807 of the family's 1533-position model. The record is from RNAcentral.
CAGUCGCCACGGGAAUACGUAGGUGGCAAGCGUUGUCCGGAAUUAUUGGGCGUAAAGGGCUCGCAGGCGGUUUCUUAAGUCUGAUGUGAAAGCCCCCGGCUCAACCGGGGAGGGUCAUUGGAAACUGGGAAACUUGAGUGCAGAAGAGGAGAGUGGAAUUCCACGUGUAGCGGUGAAAUGCGUAGAGAUGUGGAGGAACACCAGUGGCGAAGGCUACUCUCUGGUCUGUAACUGACGCUGAGGAGCGAAAGCGUGGGGAGCGAACAGGAUUAGAUACCCCGGUAGUCCCUGUCUCUUAUAC